RNAcentral lists this non-coding RNA (28 nucleotides) under Mus musculus (house mouse). Lineage: Eukaryota; Metazoa; Chordata; Mammalia; Rodentia; Muridae. The record is from RNAcentral.
UGCCUCUCUCUCAGCCUCACCAUUGCCU